GACGAACGUUGGCGGCGUGCUUAAUACAUGCAAGUCAACUGAAGCAGUGGUAGCAAUAUCGCUGUGGAGGUGGCGCACGGGUGAGUAACACGUAGGUAAUCUGCCUUCAGAUCUGGCAUAACUCCGGGAAACCGGGGCUAAUAGCAGAUGAUGCAGCGGCUCGACAUCGAGACAGUUGUUAAAGCUAUGGCGCCUGAAGAUGAGCCUGCGUCUGAUUAGCUAGUUGGCGGGGUAACGGCCCACCAAGGCAACGAUCAGUAGCUGGUCUGAGAGGAUGAUCAGCCACACUGGAAGUGAGACACGGUCAAGACUCAUACGGGAGGCAGCAGUAAGGAAUAUUGCUCAAUGGGAGAAAUCCUGAAGCAGCAACGACGCGUGAGGGACGAAGGGCUUUUGCUUGUAAACCUCUGUAGUGAGAGAAAAAAAUCCCAAUCUUUGGGACAUGAUGGUAUCUCAAAAGUAAGCCCCGGCUAACUACGUG
RNAcentral lists this ribosomal RNA (481 nucleotides) under uncultured bacterium. RNAcentral's name for it is "partial 16S ribosomal RNA". It matches the Rfam family "Bacterial small subunit ribosomal RNA", at positions 28 to 507 of the family's 1533-position model. The record is from RNAcentral.